RNAcentral lists this ribosomal RNA (465 nucleotides) under Vreelandella stevensii. Its description in RNAcentral is "partial 16S ribosomal RNA". It matches the Rfam family "Bacterial small subunit ribosomal RNA", at positions 338 to 795 of the family's 1533-position model. The record is from RNAcentral. Lineage: Bacteria; Pseudomonadati; Pseudomonadota; Gammaproteobacteria; Oceanospirillales; Halomonadaceae.
CCUACGGGCGGCAGCAGUGGGGAAUAUUGGACAAUGGGGGGAACCCUGAUCCAGCCAUGCCGCGUGUGUGAAGAAGGCCCUCGGGUUGUAAAGCACUUUCAGUGAGGAAGAACGCCUGGUGGUUAAUACCCAUCAGGAAAGACAUCACUCACAGAAGAAGCACCGGCUAACUCCGUGCCAGCAGCCGCGGUAAUACGGAGGGUGCGAGCGUUAAUCGGAAUUACUGGGCGUAAAGCGCGCGUAGGUGGCUUGAUAAGCCGGUUGUGAAAGCCCCGGGCUCAACCUGGGAACGGCAUCCGGAACUGUCAAGCUAGAGUGAAGGAGAGGAAGGUAGAAUUCCCGGUGUAGCGGUGAAAUGCGUAGAGAUCGGGAGGAAUACCAGUGGCGAAGGCGGCCUUCUGGACUGACACUGACACUGAGGUGCGAAAGCGUGGGUAGCAAACAGGAUUAGAUACCCGUGUAGUC